This 403-nucleotide ribosomal RNA is filed under the name uncultured bacterium. RNAcentral's name for it is "bacterial SSU rRNA". It matches the Rfam family "Bacterial small subunit ribosomal RNA", at positions 355 to 775 of the family's 1533-position model. The record is from RNAcentral.
UAGGGAAUAUUAGAAAUGGACGAAAGUCUGAUCUAGUAACACCGCGUGUGCGAAGAAGGCCUUCGGGUCAUAAAGCACUUUUUGGAAGGAAUAGGAAGGAAUGUACUUUCAGAAUAAGUCUCGGCUAACUACGUGCCAGCAGCCGCGGUAACACGUAGGAGGCAAACGUUAUCCGGAUUUACUGGGCGUAAAGCGCGUGUAGGUGGUACUGUAAGUAGGGCGUGAAAGCUCCUGGCUCAACUGGGAGAGGCCGUUCUAAACUACAGAACUAGAGGAUGGUAGAGGGAGGUGGAAUUCCAGGUGUAGCGGUGGAAUGCGCAGAUAUCUGGAGGAACACCGGUGGCGAAGGCGGCCUCCUGGACCAUUCCUGACACUCAGACGCGAAAGCUAGGGUAGCAAACGG